Molecule: ribosomal RNA, 521 nt
Filed under: uncultured bacterium
Lineage: Bacteria
Description: bacterial SSU rRNA
Rfam family: Bacterial small subunit ribosomal RNA
Source: RNAcentral
AGAGUUUGAUCCUGGCUCAGAUUGAACGCUGGCGGCAUGCCUUACACAUGCAAGUCGAACGGCAGCACGGGAGCAAUCCUGGUGGCGAGUGGCGAACGGGUGAGUAAUAUAUCGGAACGUGCCCAGUAAUGGGGGAUAGCCCGGCGAAAGCCGGAUUAAUACCGCAUACGACCUACGGGUGAAAGCGGGGGAUCGCAAGACCUCGCGUUAUUGGAGCGGCCGAUAUCAGAUUAGCUAGUUGGCGGGGUAAGAGCCCACCAAGGCGACGAUCUGUAGCUGGUCUGAGAGGACGACCAGCCACACUGGGACUGAGACACGGCCCAGACUCCUACGGGAGGCAGCAGUGGGGAAUUUUGGACAAUGGGCGCAAGCCUGAUCCAGCCAUGCCGCGUGUGGGAAGAAGGCCUUCGGGUUGUAAACCACUUUUGUCAGGGAAGAAACGGCUCUUACUAAUAUUAGGGGCUAAUGACGGUACCUGAAGAAUAAGCACCGGCUAACUACGUGCCAGCAGCCGCGGUAAU